Molecule: ribosomal RNA, 344 nt
Filed under: uncultured eukaryote
Lineage: Eukaryota
Description: SSU rRNA
Rfam family: Eukaryotic small subunit ribosomal RNA
Source: RNAcentral
CCAGCAGCCGCGGUAAUUCCAGCUCCAAUAGCGUAUAUUAAAGUUGUUGCAGUUAAAAAGCUCGUAGUUGAACCUUGGGCAAGAUGCAUCAGGUCGGCCGUAAGGCCGUACUUGGUCGUCGCGCCUCUGUUGGGGGACUCGCUGUUUCGACGGCGAGGUAACCUGCGUUACUGUGAAGAAAUUAGAGUGUUUAAAGCAGGCGAUCGCUUGAAUACAUCAGCAUGGAAUAACAAGAUAUGACAUGUGUCUUCUUGUUGGUUUGGAGAGAUAUGUAAUGAUUAAUAGGGCCAGUUGGGGGCAUUAGUAUUCAGUAGUCAGAGGUGAAAUUCUUGGAUUUACUGAAG